AUUAUUUUAACAAAUGUAAAAAAAAAUGAGCUAAGGUAGCUCUUUAAAGCUAAAAUAAAUGAGGCAAUAUAAAAGGGACUAAAAUAAUUUGUGGUGAACAAAAAAGUGGUAAUCAAAUAAAUGAAUAUAAUGGCAAAAUAAUGAGCUUAUUACACUUUAGCACCUGAGAAUAGCACCUUGAUUAUUUUAACAAUUGUGAAUAUAUGAACUAAGGGACUAUAUUAAGUAAUGGUAAACAAAGUUAAAAUGACAGAUAGUCACUAUGAUAUAAUGUUGAUUUUAAAGGGACACGAGAAAUAAAGCUCUCUGGACAGAUAUUUUGUGUGACAGGGGUCCAGUUACUCUCAAGCUGGUCAUAGUGGCAUUAAAAACCCAAGAAGGGAG
Molecule: non-coding RNA, 384 nt
Organism: Cherax quadricarinatus
Lineage: Eukaryota; Metazoa; Arthropoda; Malacostraca; Decapoda; Parastacidae
Source: RefSeq, a predicted model, not a curated record